This 209-nucleotide long non-coding RNA is filed under the name Homo sapiens (human). RNAcentral's name for it is "HSALNT0302383". The record is from RNAcentral. Lineage: Eukaryota; Metazoa; Chordata; Mammalia; Primates; Hominidae.
GCGGCGGCUGAAGAGACAGAUCCCGGUCCCGCCGACUCGCGAGCGGCGUCUCCGGCAGCGGGGGGAGUGGGCGGGCGGGUCCCACAAACUGCAAGGAAAAGAAAAACCCUCAACAGGAAUUACCUUUAUACCUGAUGCCCCCAACAUAAUCUCUCUCCAAGGGAAACGUGUUUUUAUUGCCUUGCGGCUGAAAAUGUAUUCUCGAUUCU